Molecule: ribosomal RNA, 68 nt
Filed under: Lophius piscatorius (angler)
Lineage: Eukaryota; Metazoa; Chordata; Actinopteri; Lophiiformes; Lophiidae
Source: RNAcentral
GAUCUCAUUCGGCGGCGGCGACUCUGGACGCGCGCCGGGCUUCUCGCGGAUCUCCCAGCUACGGCGCC